AUACGUAGGUGGCAAGCGUUGUCCGGAAUUAUUGGGCGUAAAGCGCGCGCAGGCGGUCCUUUAAGUCUGAUGUGAAAGCCCACGGCUCAACCGUGGAGGGUCAUUGGAAACUGGGGGACUUGAGUGCAGAAGAGGAAAGUGGAAUUCCAAGUGUAGCGGUGAAAUGCGUAGAGAUUUGGAGGAACACCAGUGGCGAAGGCGACUUUCUGGUCUGUAACUGACGCUGAGGCGCGAAAGCGUGGGGAGCAAACAGGAUUAGAUACCCUGGUAGUCCACGCCGUAAACGAUGAGUGCUAAGUGUUAGGGGGUUUCCGCCCCUUAGUGCUGCAGCUAACGCAUUAAGCACUCCGCCUGGGGAGUACGGUCGCAAGACUGAAACUCAAAUGAAUUGGCGGGG
This 397-nucleotide ribosomal RNA is filed under the name uncultured bacterium. RNAcentral describes it as "partial 16S ribosomal RNA". It matches the Rfam family "Bacterial small subunit ribosomal RNA", at positions 523 to 918 of the family's 1533-position model. The record is from RNAcentral.